AACGAACGCUGGCGGCAUGCCUAACACAUGCAAGUCGAACGAGACCUUCGGGUCUAGUGGCGCACGGGUGCGUAACGCGUGGGAAUCUGCCCUUGGGUUCGGAAUAACAGUAGGAAACGACUGCUAAUACCGGAUGAUGACGUAAGUCCAAAGAUUUAUCGCCCAGGGAUGAGCCCGCGUAGGAUUAGCUAGUUGGUGGGGUAAAGGCCUACCAAGGCGACGAUCCUUAGCUGGUCUGAGAGGAUGAUCAGCCACACUGGGACUGAGACACGGCCCAGACUCCUACGGGAGGCAGCAGUGGGGAAUAUUGGACAAUGGGCGAAAGCCUGAUCCAGCAAUGCCGCGUGAGUGAUGAAGGCCUUAGGGUUGUAAAGCUCUUUUACCCGGGAUGAUAAUGACAGUACCGGGAGAAUAAGCCCCGGCUAACUCCGUG
RNAcentral lists this ribosomal RNA (433 nucleotides) under uncultured bacterium. Its description in RNAcentral is "partial 16S ribosomal RNA". It matches the Rfam family "Bacterial small subunit ribosomal RNA", at positions 29 to 507 of the family's 1533-position model. The record is from RNAcentral.